UAUAACUAGUACUUAUUCUCAUGUUACAAAACCAUAAAUAUCAUCUCUCCUCCUUUUUUUAUUACGAAUCUACAAUGAUCCUCUAUCCUCUCUUUUGUUACAAAUCCUCUUUCCCCUCUUUGAUUUCAACCUUUUUGCAAGAGACAUGUCUAAAAAACAUCGACACAGAAUUCGAGAACCCUAAUGUCUUAACCAAUUAUCGAGGUACUUCAAGGAGAAAAUGAAGUUUGAAUGUUGCUACACCGCUUACCAGUAUUUAGGAAGAGCAGCACUCUUCCUAAUAAAUGCUGUCGAAUAUGGUUUUAACAUCGGAAAAGCCAGUGAGUUCACUUGGACAACAGAAGUAGGAAGAGCGGCGACGGAGAUCAUAUUCCUA
This is a long non-coding RNA of Rhododendron vialii, 376 nucleotides long. RefSeq lists it as uncharacterized. The record is from RefSeq and is a predicted model, not a curated record. NCBI's taxonomy places the organism in Eukaryota, Viridiplantae, Streptophyta, Magnoliopsida, Ericales, Ericaceae. The transcript has 3 exons.